RNAcentral lists this ribosomal RNA (253 nucleotides) under uncultured bacterium. RNAcentral describes it as "partial 16S ribosomal RNA". It matches the Rfam family "Bacterial small subunit ribosomal RNA", at positions 524 to 776 of the family's 1533-position model. The record is from RNAcentral.
GACAGAGGGUGCAACCGUUGUUCGGAAUUACUGGGCGUAAAGCGCGUGUAGGCUGCUCGGAAAGUCGGAUGUGAAAGCCCUGGGCUCAACCUAGGAAGUGCAUUCGAAACUUCCGAGCUGGAGUACUGGAGAGGAAGGCGGAAUUCUCGGUGUAGAGGUGAAAUUCGUAGAUAUCGAGAGGAACACCGGUGGCGAAGGCGGCCUUCUGGACAGUGACUGACGCUGAGACGCGAAAGCGUGGGGAGCAAACAGG